UUAUCAAAAACAUCGCCUCUUGCUAACAAAGGAAGUACUAGAGGUCCCGCCUGCCCUGUGACCACAAAGUUUAACGGCCGCGGUAUCCUGACCGUGCGAAGGUAGCGUAAUCAUUUGUCUUUUAAAUAGAGACCUGUAUGAAUGGCAUAACGAGGGUUUAACUGUCUCCUUCCCCUAGUCAAUGAAAUUGAUCUGCCCGUGCAGAAGCGGACAUAAACACAUAAGACGAGAAGACCCUAUGGAGCUUUAGACAAAAGAUCAAACAUGUAAAGAAACCAAACCAACCAAAAGGAUAAACGAAGGCCACAAAACCCAACGUAAACUGAUCUAAAUGUCUUCGGUUGGGGCGACCAUGGGGGAAAGAAAAGCCCCCACGAGGAACAGGGACAACCCCUAAACUAAGAGAGACACCUCUAAGCAACAGAAAAUCUGACCAAAAUGACCCAGGAUACUAAUCCUGAUCAACGAACCAAGUUACCCUAGGGAUAACAGCGCAAUCCUUUCCCAGAGUCCAUAUCGACGAAAGGGUUUACGACCUCGAUGUUGGAUCAGGACAUCCUAAUGGUGCAGCCGCUAUUAAGGGUUCGUUUGUUCAACGAUUAAUAGUCCUACGUGAUCUGAGUUCA
RNAcentral lists this ribosomal RNA (626 nucleotides) under Anguilla anguilla (European eel). RNAcentral's name for it is "partial 16S ribosomal RNA". It matches the Rfam family "Bacterial large subunit ribosomal RNA", at positions 1804 to 2613 of the family's 2925-position model. Lineage: Eukaryota; Metazoa; Chordata; Actinopteri; Anguilliformes; Anguillidae. The record is from RNAcentral.